Molecule: transfer RNA, 68 nt
Filed under: pig gut metagenome
Rfam family: tRNA
About the family: Transfer RNA (tRNA) molecules are approximately 80 nucleotides in length. Their secondary structure includes four short double-helical elements and three loops (D, anti-codon, and T loops). Further hydrogen bonds mediate the characteristic L-shaped molecular structure. tRNAs have two regions of fundamental functional importance: the anti-codon, which is responsible for specific mRNA codon recognition, and the 3' end, to which the tRNAs corresponding amino acid is attached (by aminoacyl-tRNA synthetases). tRNAs cope with the degeneracy of the genetic code in two manners: having more than one tRNA (with a specific anti-codon) for a particular amino acid; and 'wobble' base-pairing, i.e. permitting non-standard base-pairing at the 3rd anti-codon position.
Source: RNAcentral
CAGGUGUAGUUUAAUGGUAGAACCCAAGCCUUCCAAGCUUGAUACGGGAGUUCGAUUCUCCUCACCUG